AGUGAACGCUGGCGGUAGGCCUAACACAUGCAAGUCGAACGGCAGCACAGUAAGAGCUUGCUCUUACGGGUGGCGAGUGGCGGACGGGUGAGGAAUACAUCGGAAUCUACUUUUUCGUGGGGGAUAACGUAGGGAAACUUACGCUAAUACCGCAUACGACCUACGGGUGAAAGCAGGGGAUCUUCGGACCUUGCGCGAUUGAAUGAGCCGAUGUCGGAUUAGCUAGUUGGCGGGGUAAAGGCCCACCAAGGCGACGAUCCGUAGCUGGUCUGAGAGGAUGAUCAGCCACACUGGAACUGAGACACGGUCCAGACUCCCACGGGAGGCAGCAGUGGGGAAUAUUGGACAAUGGGCGCAAGCCUGAUCCAGCCAUACCGCGUGGGUGAAGAAGGCCUUCGGGUUGUAAAGCCCUUUUGUUGGGAAAGAAAAGCAGCAGGUUAAUACCCCGCUGUUCUGACGGUACCCAAAGAAUAAGCACCGGCCAACUUCGUG
RNAcentral lists this ribosomal RNA (492 nucleotides) under uncultured bacterium. RNAcentral's name for it is "partial 16S ribosomal RNA". It matches the Rfam family "Bacterial small subunit ribosomal RNA", at positions 29 to 507 of the family's 1533-position model. The record is from RNAcentral.